AUUGAACGCUGGCGGCAGGCCUAACACAUGCAAGUCGAGCGGCGCGGCGGACGGGUGAGUAAUUCCUAGGAAUCUGCCCGGUCGUGGGGGAUAACGUCAGGACACGGGCGCUAAUAUCGCAUACUAUUAGAUGAGCCUCGGUCGGAUUAGCUCGUUGGUGGGGUAAAGGCUGACCAAGGCGACGAUCCGUAACUGGUCUGAGAGGAGGAUCAGUCACACUGGAACGUAGACACGGUCCAGACUCCGACGGGAGGCAGCAGUGGGGAAUAUUGCACAAUGGGCGCAAGCCUGAUGCAGCAAUGCCGCGUGUAGGAAGAAGGCCUUCGGGUUGUAAAGUACUUUUAGCGGGGAGGCGUUACCCGAAGAAGAAGCACCGGCUAACUCCGUGCCAGCAGACGCGGUAAUAC
RNAcentral lists this ribosomal RNA (407 nucleotides) under uncultured bacterium. RNAcentral's name for it is "partial 16S ribosomal RNA". It matches the Rfam family "Bacterial small subunit ribosomal RNA", at positions 30 to 526 of the family's 1533-position model. The record is from RNAcentral.